Molecule: transfer RNA, 72 nt
Filed under: Chryseobacterium sp. SN22
Lineage: Bacteria; Pseudomonadati; Bacteroidota; Flavobacteriia; Flavobacteriales; Weeksellaceae
Description: tRNA-Arg
Rfam family: tRNA
About the family: Transfer RNA (tRNA) molecules are approximately 80 nucleotides in length. Their secondary structure includes four short double-helical elements and three loops (D, anti-codon, and T loops). Further hydrogen bonds mediate the characteristic L-shaped molecular structure. tRNAs have two regions of fundamental functional importance: the anti-codon, which is responsible for specific mRNA codon recognition, and the 3' end, to which the tRNAs corresponding amino acid is attached (by aminoacyl-tRNA synthetases). tRNAs cope with the degeneracy of the genetic code in two manners: having more than one tRNA (with a specific anti-codon) for a particular amino acid; and 'wobble' base-pairing, i.e. permitting non-standard base-pairing at the 3rd anti-codon position.
Source: RNAcentral
GAAACGGUAGCUCAAAGGAAGAGCACUGGCCUUCUAGGUCAGGGGUUACGGGUUCGAAUCCCGCCCGUUUCA